This 260-nucleotide unclassified non-coding RNA is filed under the name Glomus sp. RNAcentral describes it as "partial contains 5.8S ribosomal RNA and internal transcribed spacer 2". The stretch from base 1 to 65 matches the Rfam family "5.8S ribosomal RNA", at positions 84 to 154 of the family's 154-position model. The record is from RNAcentral. Lineage: Eukaryota; Fungi; Glomeromycota; Glomeromycetes; Glomerales; Glomeraceae.
GUGAAUCAUCGAAUUUUUGAACGCAAAUUGCACUCUCUUCGAAGAGUAUGCCUGUUUCAGUGUCAGCCUCUUAAAAACGACAAAGCUGCUGUUUGGCGUUGGCGUUCGUCGGAAAUUGGGUCAUCUUAAAUCCCUUUCAUUUAAGCGACUUAAAAUUUUCUUUUGGUUCCAUGAACGUUUCUAAGAUCUAUUUCUUUACACGUUUAAGGUAUUGAUUUUUACUAGCCGUGACCAUCAUAUCGGUUCGCUACCAUAAUCUU